GGCAGUGUAGCCAAGUGGUUACGGCGUCACGUUUAGGUAUUAACCAAUUACCGUGAUGGGUUUCCCGCGCGAGUUCGAAUCUCGUCACUGUCA
Thelephora terrestris is the source of this 93-nucleotide non-coding RNA. The record is from the annotation of a GenBank genome assembly. NCBI's taxonomy places the organism in Eukaryota, Fungi, Basidiomycota, Agaricomycetes, Thelephorales, Thelephoraceae.